GACGAACGCUGGCGGCGUGCUUAACACAUGCAAGUCGAACGGAAAGGCCCUGCUUUUGUGGGGUGCUCGAGUGGCGAACGGGUGAGUAACACGUGAGUAACCUGCCCUUGACUUUGGGAUAACUUCAGGAAACUGGGGCUAAUACCGGAUAGGAGCUCCUGCUGCAUGGUGGGGGUUGGAAAGUUUCGGCGGUUGGGGAUGGACUCGCGGCUUAUCAGCUGGUUGGUGGGGUAGUGGCUUACCAAGGCUUUGACGGGUAGCCGGCCUGAGAGGGUGACCGGCCACAUUGGGACUGCGCUACGGCCCAGACUCCUACGGGAGGCAGCAGUGGGGAAUAUUGCACAAUGGGCGGAAGCCUGAUGCAGCAACGCCGCGUGCGGGAUGACGGCCUUCGGGUUGUAAACCGCUUUCGCCUGUGACGAAGCGUGAGUGACGGUAAUGGGUAAAGAAGCACCGGCUAACUACGUG
RNAcentral lists this ribosomal RNA (468 nucleotides) under uncultured bacterium. RNAcentral describes it as "partial 16S ribosomal RNA". It matches the Rfam family "Bacterial small subunit ribosomal RNA", at positions 28 to 507 of the family's 1533-position model. The record is from RNAcentral.